This 134-nucleotide non-coding RNA is filed under the name Leminorella richardii. The record is from RNAcentral. Lineage: Bacteria; Pseudomonadati; Pseudomonadota; Gammaproteobacteria; Enterobacterales; Budviciaceae.
AACGGGGUGCUUAUAUCAGGCUGUGUUCUGCCGCUAUAUCCGAUGGCAGAACACAGACUAAGCUGAGAAUGCGUUCAACUGCCUGAACCUUACCCGUAGAACCUGAUCCGGUUAGUGCCGGCGGAGGGAUUUGA